AGUGAACGCUGGCGGUAGGCCUAACACAUGCAAGUCGAACGGCAGCACAGUAAGAGCUUGCUCUUACGGGUGGCGAGUGGCGGACGGGUGAGGAAUACAUCGGAAUCUACUUUUUCGUGGGGGAUAACGUAGGGAAACUUACGCUAAUACCGCAUACGACCUACGGGUGAAAGCAGGGGAUCUUCGGACCUUGCGCGAUUGAAUGAGCCGAUGUCGGAUUAGCUAGUUGGCGGGGUAAAGGCCCACCAAGGCGACGAUCCGUAGCUGGUCUGAGAGGAUGAUCGGCCACACUGGAACUGAGACACGGUCCAGACUCCUACGGGAGGCAGCAGUGGGGAAUAUUGGACAGUGGGCGCAAGCCUGAUCCAGCCAUACCGCGUGGGUGAAGAAGGCCUUCGGGUUGUAAAGCCCUUUUGUUGGGAAAGAAAAGCAGCAGGUUAAUACCCCGCUGUUCUGACGGUACCCAAAGAAUAAGCACCGGCUAACUUCGU
RNAcentral lists this ribosomal RNA (491 nucleotides) under uncultured bacterium. RNAcentral's name for it is "partial 16S ribosomal RNA". It matches the Rfam family "Bacterial small subunit ribosomal RNA", at positions 29 to 506 of the family's 1533-position model. The record is from RNAcentral.